AAAUUGAAGAGUUUGAUCAUGGCUCAGAUUGAACGCUGGCGGCAGGCCUAACACAUGCAAGUCGAACGGUAACAGGAAGCAGCUUGCUGCUUUGCUGACGAGUGGCGGACGGGUGAGUAAUGUCUGGGAAACUGCCUGAUGGAGGGGGAUAACUACUGGAAACGGUGGCUAAUACCGCAUAACGUCGCAAGACCAAAGAGGGGGACCUUCGGGCCUCUUGCCAUCAGAUGUGCCCAGAUGGGAUUAGCUUGUUGGUGAGGUAACGGCUCACCAAGGCGACGAUCCCUAGCUGGUCUGAGAGGAUGACCAGCCACACUGGAACUGAGACACGGUCCAGACUCCUACGGGAGGCAGCAGUGGGGAAUAUUGCACAAUGGGCGCAAGCCUGAUGCAGCCAUGCCGCGUGUAUGAAGAAGGCCUUCGGGUUGUAAAGUACUUUCAGCGGGGAGGAAGGUGUUGUGGUUAAUAACCACAGCAAUUGACGUUACCCGCAGAAGAAGCACCGGCUAACUCCGUGCCAGCAGCCGCGGUAAUACGGAGGGUGCAAGCGUUAAUCGGAAUUACUGGGCGUAAAGCGCACGCAGGCGGUCUGUCAAGCGCCCGCACAAGCGGUGGAGCAUGUGGUUUAAUUCGAUGCAACGCGAAGAACCUUACCUGGUCUUGACAUCCACAGAACUUUCCAGAGAUGGAUUGGUGCCUUCGGGAACUGUGAGACAGGUGCUGCAUGGCUGUCGUCAGCUCGUGUUGUGAAAUGUUGGGUUAAGUCCCGCAACGAGCGCAACCCUUAUCCUUUGUUGCCAGCGAUUAGGUCGGGAACUCAAAGGAGACUGCCAGUGAUAAACUGGAGGAAGGUGGGGAUGACGUCAAGUCAUCAUGGCCCUUACGACCAGGGCUACACACGUGCUACAAUGGCAUAUACAAAGAGAAGCGACCUCGCGAGAGCAAGCGGACCUCAUAAAGUAUGUCGUAGUCCGGAUUGGAGUCUGCAACUCGACUCCAUGAAGUCGGAAUCGCUAGUAAUCGUGGAUCAGAAUGCCACGGUGAAUACGUUCCCGGGCCUUGUACACACCGCCCGUCACACCAUGGGAGUGGGUUGCAAAAGAAGUAGGUAGCUUAACCUUCGGGAGGGCGCUUACCACUUUGUGAUUCAUGACUGGGGUGAAGUCGUAACAAGGUAACCGUAGGGGAACCUGCGGUUGGAUCACCUCCUUACCUUAAAGAA
Molecule: ribosomal RNA, 1222 nt
Filed under: Salmonella enterica subsp. enterica serovar Oranienburg
Lineage: Bacteria; Pseudomonadati; Pseudomonadota; Gammaproteobacteria; Enterobacterales; Enterobacteriaceae
Description: bacterial SSU rRNA
Rfam family: Bacterial small subunit ribosomal RNA
Source: RNAcentral